RNAcentral lists this ribosomal RNA (448 nucleotides) under uncultured microorganism. RNAcentral's name for it is "bacterial SSU rRNA". It matches the Rfam family "Bacterial small subunit ribosomal RNA", at positions 346 to 784 of the family's 1533-position model. The record is from RNAcentral.
GCGCACCAGUCGCGAAUAGUCUACAAUGGACGAAAGUCUGAUAGUGCGACGCCGUGUGUGCGAUUAAUUCCUUCGGGAUGUAAAGCACUUUUCUAUGAGAUAAAAGCUCUUUAGGUUAAUAGCUUAUUGAGACGGAUAUUAUUAUAGGAAUAAGCUCCGGCUAACUCCGUGCCAGCAGCCGCGGUAAUACGGAAGGAGCGAGCGUUGUCCGGAUUUACUAGGCGUACAGGGCUAGUAGGCGACUAAUUAAGUUAUAUGUUAAAUCCCACGGCUCAACUGUGGUCCUGCAUGUAAUACUGGUUAGAUAGAGUACUGUAGAGGAAGGCAGAAUUCCUGGAGUAGCGGUGGAAUGCGCAGAUAUCAGGAAGAAUACCAAAAGCGAAGGCAGCCUUCUGGGCAGUUACUGACGCUGAAUAGCGAAGGUGUGGGUAGCGAACAGGAUUAGAUA